Molecule: long non-coding RNA, 203 nt
Filed under: Mytilus galloprovincialis (Mediterranean mussel)
Lineage: Eukaryota; Metazoa; Mollusca; Bivalvia; Mytilida; Mytilidae
Source: RNAcentral
GAAUUGAUUCUAUUUCACAUAAUACUUUGACAGCAAAACAAUAUAUUUCAUACAUCAUCAUGUAUUUCUAUGUCUUCAAUAAGUAAUUUGAAACUACAUACUGUAAAUUUAGAAAUUAUAGCAAGGUUUUCAAUAGUGUAAAUAAUGCUUCUCCUUAACUAUUGCAAAAUAAAGAAAUCACAUUCUGAUAUCUGAUACACAUA